CUCAAUAAUACAAGUUGCUCUCGUUUCUCUUUUCUUCUUCUUUAUUAUUAUAAUAUUUUAAGCAUUUUAUUCAACAAACUUUUGUUACUUGACGGUUCCUCUUCUUCUUCCAAUCUAUUAUAUCGUCAAUCUCCUCUGCCCUGUAUCUUUCUUCUCUUGUUCCCCAUGUAUGUUUCCUUUUUUUUUUCUCCUACAGUCCUAUUUCUUCUCUGUUUCUUUUUUUUUGUUAAGUUUUUCUGUUUUUAGAAAAAAAUUCUAACCAUGAAAGUUAACAGUUAACAUAUGAUGGAUUCUCAUACAGUCGGACUCGAUCUAGGCGGUGGUGACAUCAUCAACCGUAUCUCUGGUCCUCCUUUAUUGAUGUUUCUGUACGAUUUUUUCAAAACAAGUAAACUUUUUGGUGAUAUUUUACAUAGUUUUAGUUAUAUUUUGAUUGGAAUUAAAAAAAAAUAGUUGUGAUUAAGGGGCACCAUUUGUUGGUGUGCUUUAGGCAUCAACCACCUUCGGACCGGCCCUGUCCACCAAUUUUGGAGAUGCAUGUAAAGGUACUUAUAUUUCUCUGAAUAUCCGGAGGAACAUUCUUACCAAAGAGAAUUGUAGAUUUUUGAAAAUUAACAUAUUGUCCAGAAGCAGCUGCAUAAACUUGAAGUAGGUGAAGAAGAUGCUGGCAUUCCGUCUCCGUAGCUUGAAAAAAGAGAAGAGAGUCAUCAGCAAAAAACAUAUGUGAUCUAGAUGGACCUCUUCUACUCGCUUUGAAACCAUGAAUGGACUUAGUAUCUAUUGCAUGCAUGAGUAAGUAAAGAUGAUAGGCCUUCAAUGCAAAGCAAAUAGAGAUAUGGUGAGAGGGGAUCACCUUGGCGCAGACCUCGUUGUGGAUAUAUUGUUUCAGUAGUGAUCCAUUAAGCAACACAGAAUAGGAUACUGAUGUAAUGCAAGUCAUUACCCAUCGGCACUACUUCUCUGCAAAACCAAGACGCUUUAAUACAGCCUCAACAUAAGUCCAUUCAAUUUUGUCUAAAGCUUUAGCAAUGUCAAGCUUAAGAGCCAUGAAAGGAUGCUUUAUUUUCUUAAUACAAAGAGAAUGCAGAAGCUCGUGAGUAACAAUGAUAUUAUCCGUUAUGAGACGACCAGGGAUACAUGCAGACUGAAAUUCAGAGACAAUAGAAUGCAACCACGAUUUAAGAGGGUGUUAUUGGUUUAUUAAUUUGUAAAUCCAUAUAGGAUUUGAAAAUC
RNAcentral lists this long non-coding RNA (1233 nucleotides) under Arabidopsis lyrata. Its description in RNAcentral is "long non-coding RNA (ALYR_LNC001735)". The record is from RNAcentral. Lineage: Eukaryota; Viridiplantae; Streptophyta; Magnoliopsida; Brassicales; Brassicaceae.